Drosophila innubila is the source of this 500-nucleotide long non-coding RNA. RefSeq lists it as uncharacterized. Lineage: Eukaryota; Metazoa; Arthropoda; Insecta; Diptera; Drosophilidae. The transcript has 2 exons. The record is from RefSeq and is a predicted model, not a curated record.
ACUUUGUAAACUCCAAAACAUAAAAAUUCGCCCAGGAACAUGAGCAUGGUCAAGACGACGGGAUGUUGAAAACGAUGCGGCUUUCCAUCACUGCCCUCCACAUUUUGAUUGCUCACCCAUCUACAAUGCACCUGGAUAAUAAUAUUUUCGUGAUAAUUAACUGGAAAUUUAAUUGUACAUUUUAGCUUGCCAAAGCCUGCCAGACCAUUAAAAGCUUUGCGUUGCCAGACAAUAAAUAAAAGCUGGAAAUCAGCUGUUUUGUUUAUAACUCUGCGGAGGGCGCGCCAAAUGAAAUUUAAAAUGCCAGUCGUACAUUUUUGCAUUUUAUUUUAUUAAAACCAAACUUAAAAAAUAUCACAGGAUAUGGAAAUUAAAAAGAGCAUUUAAAUGAAUUUAUGUAUGUGCAUGUCAAUUGCAUUUAAGCCGUCUUGGUUGCAUUUUGUGUGUUUUUCCUGGGAAAGUAAAAUGACAAAAUAAAUAAAUUAUUAAAAAUGUUUUAA